RNAcentral lists this ribosomal RNA (483 nucleotides) under uncultured bacterium. RNAcentral describes it as "partial 16S ribosomal RNA". It matches the Rfam family "Bacterial small subunit ribosomal RNA", at positions 30 to 507 of the family's 1533-position model. The record is from RNAcentral.
UUGAACGCUGGCGGCAGGCCUAACACAUGCAAGUCGAGCGGAUGAAGGGAGCUUGCUCCUGGAUUCAGCGGCGGACGGGUGAGUAAUGCCUAGGAAUCUGCCUGGUAGUGGGGGAUAACGUCCGGAAACGGGCGCUAACACCGCAUACGUCCUGAGGGAGAAAGUGGGGGAUCUUCGGACCUCACGCUAUCAGAUGAGCCUAGGUCGGAUUAGCUAGUUGGUGGGGUAAAGGCCUACCAAGGCGACGAUCCGUAACUGGUCUGAGAGGAUGAUCAGUCACACUGGAACUGAGACACGGUCCAGACUCCUACGGGAGGCAGCAGUGGGGAAUAUUGGACAAUGGGCGAAAGCCUGAUCCAGCCAUGCCGCGUGUGUGAAGAAGGUCUUCGGAUUGUAAAGCACUUUAAGUUGGGAGGAAGGGCAGUAAGUUAAUACCUUGCUGUUUUGACGUUACCAACAGAAUAAGCACCGGCUAACUUCGUG